RNAcentral lists this small nucleolar RNA (106 nucleotides) under Metarhizium album ARSEF 1941. RNAcentral describes it as "A. fumigatus snoRNA Afu_514". It matches the Rfam family "A. fumigatus snoRNA Afu_514". The record is from Rfam by way of RNAcentral. Lineage: Eukaryota; Fungi; Ascomycota; Sordariomycetes; Hypocreales; Clavicipitaceae.
CUUUAUGAUGAGGUUAAUUUGCGAUUGAUUCUAUUCGGUGGCUCUCUUCGCCAGAGUAGCUAUACCGCUUAGACAACUGAUAUUCAAUUUCUUACAUAUUCUGAAC